AGUGAACGCUGGCGGUAGGCCUAACACAUGCAAGUCGAACGGCAGCACAGUACGAGCUUGCUCUUACCGGUGGCGAGUGGCGGACGGGUGAGGAAAAUAUCCGACUCUACUCUUUCGUGGGGGUUAACGUAGGGAAACUUACGCUAAUACCGCAUACGACCUACGGUUGAAAGCAUGGGAUCUUCGCACCUUGCGCGGUUGAAUGAGCCGAUGUUGGAUUAGCUAGUUGGCCGGGUAAUUGCCAACCAAGGCGACGAUCCGUAGCCGGUCGGAGUGGAUGGUCGGCCACACUGGAGGUGGGACACGGUCAAGGCUACUGAGAGAGGCAGCAGUGGGGAAUAUUGGGCAAUAGUCGGAAACCUUGUACAGUGAUACGGCGUCGGAGGCAGAGGCCUUCGGGUCGUGAAGCCCUUUUGUUGGGAGAGAAAAGCAGCAGGUUAAUACCCCGCUGGUGUGACGGUACCGGAUGAAGAAGCACCGGCUAACUUCGUG
Molecule: ribosomal RNA, 492 nt
Filed under: uncultured bacterium
Lineage: Bacteria
Description: partial 16S ribosomal RNA
Rfam family: Bacterial small subunit ribosomal RNA
Source: RNAcentral